GACGAACGCUGGCGGCGUGCCUAAUACAUGCAAGUAGAACGCUGAAGCGAGGAGCUUGCUCUUCUUGGAUGAGUUGCGAACGGGUGAGUAACGCGUAGGUAACCUGCCUUGUAGCGGGGGAUAACUAUUGGAAACGAUAGCUAAUACCGCAUAACAAUGGAUGACACAUGUCAUUUAUUUGAAAGGGGCAAUUGCUCCACUACAAGAUGGACCUGCGUUGUAUUAGCUAGUAGGUGAGGUAAUGGCUCACCUAGGCGACGAUACAUAGCCGACCUGAGAGGGUGAUCGGCCACACUGGGACUGAGACACGGCCCAGACUCCUACGGGAGGCAGCAGUAGGGAAUCUUCGGCAAUGGGGGCAACCCUGACCGAGCAACGCCGCGUGAGUGAAGAAGGGUUUCGGAUCGUAAAGCUCUGUUGUAAGUCAAGAACGGGUGUGAGAGUGGAAAGUUUACACUGUGACGGUAGCUGACCAGAAAGGGACGGCUAACUACGUG
This 497-nucleotide ribosomal RNA is filed under the name uncultured bacterium. RNAcentral's name for it is "partial 16S ribosomal RNA". It matches the Rfam family "Bacterial small subunit ribosomal RNA", at positions 28 to 507 of the family's 1533-position model. The record is from RNAcentral.